UCUCUACUUGGUAUUAACCCCCUUUCAUUCUACUAUAUAACAAAACAUUGGACCAUAUCACUUUCUCAAAACCAAAGUACAGAGCAGUUUAACCGGAGGACAGAGAGUUUGCAGCGAUAAAUUCAUGGUGAAGUGAUCCUAGAUGUCAUAGGAAAAGAGUUUCCUUAUCAAGGUUAAUUGUCUAACAAAACUUUAUUUGGGAAUCAUAGUUUGUGAAUUUGGUUGCCACAACCUAUCUAAC
This 241-nucleotide long non-coding RNA is filed under the name Solanum tuberosum (potato). RNAcentral describes it as "long non-coding RNA (STUB_LNC005308)". The record is from RNAcentral. Lineage: Eukaryota; Viridiplantae; Streptophyta; Magnoliopsida; Solanales; Solanaceae.